GUGAGGAAUAUUGCGCAAUGGAGGCAACUCUGACGCAGCCAUGCCGCGUGCAGGAAGAAGGCGCUACGCGUUGUAAACUGCUUUUAACCGGGAAGAAACCCCAGGACGUGUCCUGGGUUGACGGUACCGGAGGAAUAAGCACCGGCUAACUUCGUGCCAGCAGCCGCGGUAAUACGAAGGGUGCAAGCGUUAUCCGGAUUCAUUGGGUUUAAAGGGUGCGUAGGCGGAGCGUUAAGUAAGUGGUGAAAUCCUGCAGCUUAACUGUGGACUUGCCAUUGAUACUGGCGCUCUUGAGUGCGCUUGAAGUGGGCGGAAUGUGCCGUGUAGCGGUGAAAUGCUUAGAUAUGGCACAGAACACCAAUUGCGAAGGCAGCUCACUAAGGCGAUACUGACGCUGAGGCACGAAAGCGUGGGGAUCGAACAGGAUUAGAAACCCGGGUAGUCC
RNAcentral lists this ribosomal RNA (445 nucleotides) under uncultured bacterium. RNAcentral describes it as "partial 16S ribosomal RNA". It matches the Rfam family "Bacterial small subunit ribosomal RNA", at positions 354 to 796 of the family's 1533-position model. The record is from RNAcentral.